CCUACGGGUGGCAGCAGUGGGGAAUAUUGCACAAUGGGGGAAACCCUGAUGCAGCGACGCCGCGUGAAGGAAGAAGUCUUUCGGUAUGUAAACUUCUAUCAGCAGGGAAGAAAAUGACGGUACCUGACUACGAAGCCCCGGCUAACUACGUGCCCGCAGCCGCGGUAAUACGUAGGGGGCAAGCGUUCUCCGGAUUUACUGGGUGUAACGGGAGCGUAGGCGGCGAUGCAAGUCAGAAGUGAAAGCCCGGGGCGCAACUCCGGGACUGCUUUUGAAACUGGAUGGCUAGAUUGCAGGAGAGGCAAGUGGAAUUCCUAGUGUAGCGGUGAAAUGCGUAGAUAUUAGGAGGAACACCAGUGGCGAAGGCGGCUUGCUGGACUGUAAAUGACGCUGAGGCUCGAAAGCGUGGGGAGCAAACAGGAUUAGAUACCCUUGUAGUC
Molecule: ribosomal RNA, 440 nt
Filed under: uncultured bacterium
Lineage: Bacteria
Description: partial 16S ribosomal RNA
Rfam family: Bacterial small subunit ribosomal RNA
Source: RNAcentral